This 86-nucleotide transfer RNA is filed under the name Felis catus (domestic cat). It matches the Rfam family "tRNA". Rfam says of the family: Transfer RNA (tRNA) molecules are approximately 80 nucleotides in length. Their secondary structure includes four short double-helical elements and three loops (D, anti-codon, and T loops). Further hydrogen bonds mediate the characteristic L-shaped molecular structure. tRNAs have two regions of fundamental functional importance: the anti-codon, which is responsible for specific mRNA codon recognition, and the 3' end, to which the tRNAs corresponding amino acid is attached (by aminoacyl-tRNA synthetases). tRNAs cope with the degeneracy of the genetic code in two manners: having more than one tRNA (with a specific anti-codon) for a particular amino acid; and 'wobble' base-pairing, i.e. permitting non-standard base-pairing at the 3rd anti-codon position. Lineage: Eukaryota; Metazoa; Chordata; Mammalia; Carnivora; Felidae. The record is from Rfam by way of RNAcentral.
GCCUGGGUGGCUCAGUUGGUUAAGCAUCCGACUUCGGCUCAGGUCAUGAUCCCCGCGGUUCGUGGGUUCGAGCCCCACGUCAGGCU